CUAUUCAUUAUAUCAAAUUGUAGAUUCCAACAGAAGUCUCAUAAAGUUCAACAAAAAAAGCAGAAGACCCAGUGGAUCAGUUCAUUCUCUAGUCAGUUCAUGAACUUUAUGAGACUUCGGUUGGAAUCUACAAUUUGAUAUAAUGAAUA
This is a non-coding RNA of Podarcis lilfordi (Lilford's wall lizard), 149 nucleotides long. The record is from the annotation of a GenBank genome assembly. Lineage: Eukaryota; Metazoa; Chordata; Lepidosauria; Squamata; Lacertidae.